RNAcentral lists this long non-coding RNA (31823 nucleotides) under Solanum tuberosum (potato). RNAcentral describes it as "long non-coding RNA (STUB_LNC011189)". Lineage: Eukaryota; Viridiplantae; Streptophyta; Magnoliopsida; Solanales; Solanaceae. The record is from RNAcentral.
GGAGGCUCCCAAGGUUAUAAUUGAAGGAUUAUAUUCUCACGUAAUGGCUUUGGUUUUGGUUCAGGAGGCGUGGCCACUCAAUAGAUGACGGUGAAGAUGAAACUCCGAUAUGUGAAGUAUGUGUGUUGAUUACCAGGUGCUGUAGAGUAGCAGCAGCUGCAGAUGGUGAUGCUACAACUCGUUACAGUAGAAAAUAACACUUCAACAUUCACUUGAUCUCGAAAGGUACCUACAUGCUAUAUGUAACCGAUAGCUUACCAAGUUCUUACCAUUGCUGGCGUUAUGUUUCUUCGCUUUAUGUUUAUAAUCUUUGAUCUCAAGCUUGAAAUGAAUAUUUUUUGCAAGAGAUCAUGUUGGUACUUGCUAGUAGUAGUGGUUGUAAUGUUCAGUAUAAAUUUUGGACAAACCUUGACUUUAUUAUUAGGAUGUAUUGAAUUGUUGAAUCAACAGGUGAAAAGGCUUACAGUGGAAAGUAUAUUGUUUUUCUUUUGCACUUGGAAAUAGUGAUUCUUCUGAACUAUUAUUCCUAGUAGUGUUUUAAAAGGUGGGGCAUGAGACGAGGCGUUUUAAAGGUGAGGUGUAAGCCUCGAGACAUCAUGGAUCUUUAAAUUUUUAAUUUACAAUAUAAUAUAAAAAGUUGAUAACAUCAAAUUAUAAAAACACAUCAAUAGUUUGAAAUAAUUAAAAACAUGAUUAACUCAUAGAAAAUAUAACUUCCCUUUUCCUUUUUCUGGGAUGGGAUACUUUUGGGCUUAUUCCCUUGUAAAUAUUGAACCUCUUUUGUUUUUAAUAAAAUCAACUUUGGCUUAAAAAAAUAAAAAUAGAAAAUAUAACUUCCAACAUGAUUAUAUGAUUAUAAAUAAUGUAAUGAUAUUAAUAUUAUUAUGAGAUGCAAAAACUCUAGCAUCUUAACUUUCUAAUAAUAAAAGAAUUAUUAUUUCUAAAAAUAUUUUAUUAUUAUACUAUACAAUUUAAUCCCCUAAAAGAAAAUACUCAAUAAAACUUAUUGGUAUUAUAAUAAAACAUCACUCCAUCAUGAAUAAAAAUAAAAUUACUUUCAAAUAUAGCUAAAUAAUAAAAUAUGAUAAUUUUGAUACAUGACAAAAACAUGAAGACCAAUGAUAAGUGAAAGUAAAAUUUCGCUAUUGUAUUUUUAAAAGAAAUGUUAUGUAAUAUAUAAUCACUCUCAAAGUGUUUCGAAACACAACUUAUUAUUCGAGUUACUCUCAAUCUUCUUAUUUCUAUAGAUUAAAAAACUAUUAAGUAUCACUCAUUUAUUCAAGAAUUAUAAGACUCAACAAUGUUAACUAAAUGAUUUAACACAUAAUUUGUAUAAGAUCUGUUAGGCAAAUCCCUAGGGCGUAAGUCUUACGUAACUAAGCUCCAAACUUAAGUCUUGGGGCAUUUUGCUAUGGCCCCACUAUAGAUCGAGUCCUAACAGAGUCUUUUAAAACACUGAUGCCUACUAAUAUGUUUGGAAACAAUUUUUCUUUCUUUUCGAAGUCUCUUCAUUUCUUUCAAAUUUGAUUUUUUAAAAAUCUUUCUAAGAACAUACAUUAAAAAUGCCCAUCUAGAAGGAAAAGCUAUAACUAGAAAGCUUCUCUUUUUGAUAAAAGAUAUCAAUAUGUUGAUUUAUUUAGCUUUUCAGUUUUCAACAACUGAACAAAAUUGCCAGCAAAAUGUUUCAUAUUCCUAGGUUUUGUUACAUGACCAAUGAAUAAUACAUUUUCUUCUGAAACAGCUAGAAUAAACUUGUGUAUUGUUCCUUCUAGUGCUACAAAAAUCACUGGGGAUAAAAAACAACUUGUUCAAAAACAUGAUGUUGAUCUGCUUUGUUUGCUAAAGCUUUUGCCUAGUUCACCAGUUCUGCAAUUCAGCUUUGCCUGAACAUAUCAGUAGUGCAAUGACUCGACGUUUAGCGCACAAUAGUUCUGCUGUUUUUCUUUGUAAAAGAUUCAAGAAUCUUGUACAUCCAUCCAUCUAGCAUGCCUAUUACACACAACAAAUAUCAACAUGUCAGUAUGUUCGACUACAUAUUGAAGAUUUCUGACAGGCUGAAUAACAGUUGGAUUUCUUCUGCAAGAAACAAUUUGCGAGGGAAAUGCCAGCCAAGAAAAAGACUUGAAGACGAUAUAAGCCAAAAACAUCAAGUGGUUUGUCAAUUCAUAACCAGAAAGACUUCUUAGUAAGUGGUAAUAAAGAGAAACUAUCCCAAUCCAAAUCAGCAUAAAAAAUGGCAUUGUACUUUGAUAACAGGAAAUGAUAUCAAAACCUAGUCACUUCCAGAUGCUCUGGUCUAUAAAGUAUAGGCAAAUGGUCAGAACAAAAACAAAGUUUAAACAGAGAUUCCUUGCAUGAGAUCGGGGAAAUAGAGAAUCAAACACUUGCUUGAGACUAUUGGAGAAGGAUUUCCCCGUAGGAAUUAUCAUAGUUCUUUAUUUAUGGGUAAUCAGGAAUAAUAAAGACAAGCCCAAGACUUAAAAUUUCUCACACCAGACAUAACUCAACACUUUUCAUGCACCUGGGAAAAUGAUUUUUCACUUCUUCACGGAUAUUCAAGUCAAGAGCCUUCGGUUCAAUUAAAUGAGGAACAUUUCGACUAGAAGUGUGAAACAAAUUAGCAGGGACUUAUGGCUUAUAAGGGGUUUUCACCUUUAUUAAAUCAUACAGCGAAGUAUUAAAGGCAAACCUGUCAAGGCAAAUGUACCACCCAACACUGCACAGAGCCGAGUGAUGAAGUGCAGAAAACUGCGACGUUCUUCUCUGAUGGUCACGGUAAUUGGUGACAGAUCAUAUAAGAAGUAUACAGCUGCAUAAAGCGGCAAAAGACACUCAGUGAAAAAUGAAAUACAGCAAGAGGAAAAGGGAGAAGAAGAGCAGAGACUCACCUGGCCAUGUCCGUUCAAAAUCAUGGAUGGGAGAAAAGUACUCCGUUACAGAAAAUUGAUUAGUUGGUGAAACUUCUUUUGAUAUGUAUCUAUACUCAGUUGGAACAACCUACAUGACAAAAACCAGAACGUAAAAAUAUGGAAGCACGAGAGCACAUCCAAAAGAAAAAUAUCAUUAUGACUCGAGACUUAUCUUCACAAGGAAAUCCAAUUAAGUAAACCUUGAUGCAUGUUUCAACUAAUGUUUCUUGCCAACAGUGUUAGAUUGUGUGAACCGUCUCAUCUAGUCUAAUCUUGUUAUAAAGGAGACAUACCUAUUUCGACGCUACAACACACUUCCUCAUGUCUUCAUUUCUUACCUUUAUCCGGACACAUGGAAAUAAUUGUGUUGAGUGGCAGCAAGACUUGAACAAAGCCCUCUUUAUUUUGUAAAUUGUCCCAUCUAGGAGUUCGAGUCGCUAGAGAGGAAACACUUUAUUUGUUUAUUAUAGAUUUGCCACCCUACAUGGUUUAGAGCGGGUUGGCCUAGUGGAGAGGAUCUUUAACCUCCAACCAUGAGGUUACUGGUCCAAGGUCAUCAAGGAAUAAAAAAGUGGAAAAAGCCACUGCUGGCCCAUGGGACAGGAUUUCAAAAUGAAGAACAAAUUUGCUUUUUUUUUUCACACUGGUGGCCAACAAUUGCAGAUAUUUAGCCUCGGUGAAGAACAAGAUAAUUAGGUCCCCACAUUACAGGAAAAGAAUAUAUCAUACACCACAAAAUAAUCCAGACAAAUUACAGAAGCAUGCAGCCAUAAAUACAAGUUAGUUCUUUCUAUCACAUAAAGAAAGUUGCUCAAGUUUGUUCAUUCCACCACUUUAAGAAAGUUGGUCAAGGCUCCUUAUGUUUAAAAGGAAAAAAAGAUAGAAAGAAAGAAUGGUCAAGGCUAUGUUGAAACACUCUAUGCAAUGUAUUCAAAAUAAAAACUAAAUUAGAUCUCCACAAACCUUAAUGUAAUAUUUGAAUGUGCCACUUGAUCCACGCAGAAUUCGUGAUGUUCCAUCUAGCGGGUUGUGAAUACCUGGAUAUUUGGGCCCAAAUGAUAAAUCAUGGAUGAUAUGGCUUACAUUGACAUGAGUGGACUUUUCAAAAAUCUGCAUUUUCAAAGGAUGCAAAUAAGAGUGAGCAAAUACUCUGGAAGAAGAGAAACAGUAAUACUUAAAGGCUAUUCUCUGAACGCUGCUGUAAAAUGCAGCCUUUGAGUAGAACUUCAUGUACUUCAGAAUAUGGGUUAAAAUAAAAAUGAAAAUCAGCUUCUGCACUCGGACCAACUUCAGAAAUAUGGUAUUGCUAAUUUCUCUAAACUUGUUUCACAAAAUAUUUAGAAACUCACUGUACAACUUCCUUAAUGUGGUAUUGCUAAUUUCUCUAUACUUUUUUCACAAACUAUCAUAGAUCAAAAGACGAGCAAAAUCAGAAAAGUAGCUUCAGCACAAUCUUCCUUUUGUCAUGCAUAAGUUCAAAAUAACUAGCAAGUUGGAUUGAAUCAGAGCUUUCACUUUACUUGAACCACCAAUAUAUAACUUGAUAGAACACCGGAAGCCGACGAAAAGAACUGUCUUAACUCUCCCACCUUUGGGAGGGUUAUUGCCCUAGUUUCUUAGAUGAACUCCUUUUAGCAUCUUCCAAUUAUACCGCCCUAAUUUCAAGGAUCACAACUGCUUACACAAUUUGACCUCAUAGAUACCUUAGAAUGGGACAAAGUUCAAUGCAAUAGUGCAUACUUUCCAACAGUUAUAGUGUAUUCCCAUCAAAUCUAUAAAAAUUAUAAAAUAUCAACAGAGCUGACCAUUUGAGCAACAAAAAUGUUCAUCCCAUGAACGGAUAGAUGGAAAUUCCCAGCAACCCUCUGGACAUCUAAAAUGCCAUACACCUGCAUGCAACAAUGUCAGCAUCAGUUGGUGCAACACUGCUAUCGCUUAGUUAGCCAAAGUGGCAGCGUAUUUUAGGCCCAAAGUGAAAAAGAUAACGGGGGAUGGGGGCGGGGGGAAUGACAAUACAAGAACAAGCAUAAUACAAAGCAACCAAAACAUACCCUGCAUCCUUCCCCAUCAGCCAAUGCUUGCUUAACCUUCUUGAUCAUAUUUUGAGAUUCUUCAUCAAUGCCCUGUAGAUGGAUCUUGUCUGAAUCUUCAUGAUGUUCUUUGUGUGCAUCUGGUAAAAAUUGUUACUUAAAACCAUGUUAUCAAUUUGUAGGAGAUUAAUACUCAGUUGUGUUAUGCAAGCUAGAUCACAAACUAAUCAACUGAUAUAUUCAAACAAAUGGAAUUUCUCAAGUUAUUUGUGCUUUGUAAGUUGGAUCCAUUUAUCCGAUUCCAGAAAGAGAGAAUUUGAUAGAAGUCACUAAGGUCUAACCAAAGCUCUUUAUAUUUGUCAAGAAAUUAACAUUAACAUGAUCAACAGACAAGGCCACACUAAGCAGGUUCAAGGCAAAAGCAUACCAGUGCACAACUUGGACUCGGAUAAAGAGAAACAGAGAGUUAAGCUAAUGCUACUACCCAAAUGCAGAAGAACCAAAUGCAUUACCAUGUUUAUGAACUUCAUGUUCCUUCUCAACAAGGUCUGACAAAUACUCAGUGCCAGUGAUAUGGCCAUCACUGUUCAAGCGAAGCUGCAAAAACUCUCAAACUUAAUUGCCAAAAAAGGCAUGAAAAAAAAAAGGAUACGCCUGGGCAUGCAUACACUAUAGAGUAUAGAUUGAUUCUGAAAACAAAUGCCAAUUUGUAGACAAAGAAAAUUGCAAAUACUAUAAACAUGAAAUAGAAGACAAAUUGCAAAUAUCUUCAUAAUUUGCUUCAGUGUUACAAAGCUUGCAAGGAUAAGUUCGCUUGACUAACAGAAUGAAACUGGGAAGGUGUGGAUGCCGAGGUACACCUAUUCAGAUUUGUAAGAUUUAAGACUUCCAGAAGUUCUAGCCUGCUAAUACCAAGUUAAGAAUAGAAAUGUUUGGUGAAUUACACUGACAUUCCUAAUUGCCAGGUUACAACAAGAGACCAGGUAGGGAACUAUAAUAAGUGUCCUACAUAUUGUGAGGCAUUACAUUUUUUCUUGGGAAAACUACAGCAGAGUUGUAAUUUACUAGUACAAGGCCUCUACCGCCUCUCUCAUUUUCAUAACUACACUACAUCUCUUAAGCUUAUAAGUUAUUAGAAACCAUCCACACAAAAAGUUUCUUGCUUAGUAUUGCUAAAAGAUCCUUAACACUUUUACGAACAAUCUAGCUUACGAAGCUACUGACAUAAUAUAAAGUUAUAAGCCAAUAUGAACUGUUAACGGGAAAUACAAGAAAAGUAAAAAGGUCAAUUGUGAUAAGUAAUUUUGAAAUUGUAGAGGAGGAUAAGUAAUUGUGACAAACUAGAAUUGGCAUCAAAGUAUCUUACCCACAAUCGAAACAUGCAUAAGCAGUGCUGCAAGUCAUAACCAUCAAAACUGGAGACAUUGUAUAUUUGUUAAAUUUUUUAGAUGCCACUGUAUAGUACCGAUGACAAGAUUGCAAGUUUUGGAUACAAUAAAGUCAAACCUCCCCCCCACCCCCACACACACACAAAAAAAGAAAAAGAAAAAGAGAACCAGUGACUAGAUAACCAGUAAAUUUAGAAAUAUUUCUUAGAAGAAAACAAACAAAAACUAAAGUGAAAUCCAAAAAUAUAGUAAAAACAGAACAAUCCUUUUCUUCUUCCAUUUCCCUGACACGCUAAAAAAAGGUAGAAAAAGAAUUGCUAUAUGACAAACUAGAAAUAAAACUUAUGUUUACAAUACUUUUGACUGGGAAGGCACCAGAAUAAUUGUGUUGACUAUUGUAGGUCUGAUAACAUUAUAACAAAUUGAUUCAUCCCAUAAAACUUAGUCUAUCUAAGGCAUAAAAGUUUCUUUAACUAGAAUCCAACAACAUUAACAUUAUGAUCCCAGCUUCUUUUUCAUUUGAAACAGUAAGAAACACAAUUUACUAAAACGCGCAACAAUCUAACCAUGUUAUGCAUUACCCUGUGCCUGUAGUACAAAACAUUCUCGUUUAGUUUUCAGUUCAAUGAGCAGCGAAAUUUGUUCAUUAGUCACAAUAGACCAAUUACCUUCCAUAUGUUUGUAUCAAGAUCUACUUCAUGCUUCCCCGACAUAUCAAUAGCAUCCACACUAAGAACUACCAAAAAGAAUAAAUUGAUCAACCGCUGAAACAUUACGAAAAAAAUAUUAACAAAGAAAAGGCAAACAAUUAAAAUAAAUAAAAAAAUACGGACAGCAAGUAGAGAAUAUUGACUACCAUCACAAGGUAGAGAGGGAAAUGUCAUAUUUAUGUGAAUGGGAAGAUUUUCUCCACGUCUCGAGUCUACAGACAUCUGCACAGAUGAAAUUCACAGCACAAACUUCAAAUGAGAGAGACUAAGCUAAACCUGAAGAAGAUUUCAUCAAAUAGAUGUAAACUACCUGAUGAACAGUAUAUAUAUUAAGAUAGUAACUCAGUUCAUGCAAGAACAAUGUUACCAUAAUUAGCAGCCCCACAAUGGAAACUGGUAAUUAAAAAGAAGAAAGAGUAAAGUUAGUAAAGGAAUGAAACUCAAGUAAAAUACAGACACAAAAUAAGCGAGAAAUAUUCUACAUGUUCAUCCAAAAGUAAUGCUAAAUCGUGAAAAUGUUAGAGAGAAUUGCCUGUGAUAUGUCACAGUAAAGCUCGGGUAAAGGUAACACAGAUAACACACAAAUAUGUAGCGUUAAGCACCAAUCAAGUAAAGAUCAACUUCACUUUUCAUCCACAUAAAUAGUAUGGCAUUCACCAUCAAUAGGUUGCAUCCUCGUAAACUGUUACUUGCAAAAUAGCUAUCUUUUUCUAUUAUUAACAUUCCAAUCAUCAUGAAAAUAUGAGAAAAACAAUUGGGGAGGGUGGCAGAUAAGGAGUGGAAGUUCUGCUAUUCAACAAUAAUCAAGUGUCAUGGUCAUCUAGUGACUAAGAAAAGCCAGUAAUUCAAAUAUCUAAUACUCUCAUCUGUAGAACAUGAAAAGUUACAUAUCAAACGAGUUCCAAUAACUGAUGAAUAAAUCUACCUAAAAUCAGCUAAAACAUCUCCAAUAUCUAACUGAUUUUCUCAUUCUUUUGGGAUUAGCUUCCUCAAUUGAUGUUCCAAGGAUUGCGUACUGGAAUCAACCCAAUAGCUCAGAAGUAAGUGGUUCCAUACACCAUAUCCAUCGAAUAAUCCUUUGGCAAGGAAUCUGUGGAGGAAAAUCGACAGUAGACCAAGAACAAGGCCAAGUGCUUGUGGGACAAGGCCAUAUGGUUUCUACUUUCUAGUAGGAGGAAUGAGUUUGAGAAAUUAGAAAGUAAAGUGCCUGAAUUUCAAGGCAAUACUCUAGAUAAUAGAGAGAACAAUUGAUGAACACAUCAUUCGCCUAUUCUCCACAACUAUCAGGCAUGCACCUCUUCAAACCAAUAUCAACCAAAACUCCAUAUACUUGAUGAAGAUGGAAAGUGUAAUUAAGAAUUAAACCCAUCCUCUAACAAUGAGCCAAGAGUGUACUAAAUAAUUGUUGGAUUUAAGUUUUAAUGUUUUGCUAUGAGAAUAUUUUGUAGAAUAAGAGUAGUCACAAAUCAUGUCAUCUGAAUUAUAUUAUCAAAAACUAAAGAACCAAAGAGAAAGAAAUCAAAGAUGGCCAAAGCAUAAAGGUGAAACUGUAACUAACACUCACAAGGAUAAAUAGAACUUUUCAAGACAUUUCGUUUCUGAACAGCAAUCAUACAAAGAAAAAGGUUACUACUUUAUUCGAAGGCUUAAAAUGUUCUCUUACAAUCAUUUCCUAAGUUUGAUGAUCACAUAGAAACUAGCUCGUGAUCAUCCAAAUAAAUACAAAACAAUUCCUAGGUUCCCACAUAAAGUGAAUAGAAGAGUAAGACUGAAUACAUGGAAUUGAUCACUUAUGAGUUAUGCCUCUAUGUGAAUUCUAGAACAAGCCCAUUACAGUAAAACCAGUUAAGAAUGCAGAGAAUCAAUCAACUAUGCCUCAUUCUCACAUUAGUUAAGGUUGACUAUAAGAUUCCUCUCUAUUCAUUCCACUCACAAAGGUAAAUGAAACCUUUCAAGACUUUUCGUUUUUGAUCAAUUAUGCCUCAAUCCCAAAUUGGUUGGAUCAGCUGUAUGAAGACGUGGAACCAACCACUAAUAUUGUCUACAUCACAUCCCUUGGGAUGCGACCCUUACCCGAACACUGUUAAUGCGGGAUGCAUUGUACACCAGUCUGUCCUUUUUAGCUAUAUGAAUUCUAGAUGCAAGCCUAUCUCAUUAAAAACAAUUACGAACGGAUAGUGAGAAUCAAUAAACUAUUCCUCAUUCUCAAAUUAGUGAAGGUUGGCUAUAGCAAUCAUCUCUAUUCAUUCCACUUAAUGCAGGUCCAUUUCGUAAACCAAAAAAAAAUCACAAAAAUAAAAAGGACUAAGAUCAAAUACCGAAGGCGCCAAACUUGGUUUUCUGCAACAAAUGUUCUUCAGCUCGCGGAAAUGCAUCAAUAGCUCUUAAUGCUUGCUUCACACCCAUUUUUUUUCUCCUUUAUUUCCAAGAUUUGAUAAUGCUGUUCCAAAUGUAUCAAAUUUAAAAAAUCUUGAAGUUGAAAAACACAAGAAAUUCAUAGGCUUUCAUAUUUUAUUUUAAAAAAAAUGGGGGUUGGGAUGGGAAAUCAGGAGGGGAAUCAAACUUUCACCAACGAGGUGAAAAUUAAUGUAGUCAAUCAACUGAGCUACUAAGAUUUUCCCGAGCUUUCAUAUUUAUCCAUCAAUCAACCAAUCAAUUUAACAAAUGAAACAUCCAUUAAUUAUUAUUUUUUGCUCUAAUCAACCCCAAUUCAUUCAAAAUCCCAACUUUACUUGUAAUUAACUAGUCAUUUUGCUAAAAUUAAACCCAAUUUAGGAAACAAAGCUAAAAUUCAUCAUUUAUAAGAAAUCGAAACGAAUUACACAUAAUCCAAAAAAUGAAUUAGCUUUACCCAAUGCCCUGCUACAUUUUAGAGAGAGAAAGUACCUAUAAUGUAGAGAGAGAAUGUACCCGGAAAACGAGAUUCCGAUCUCCGGCGCUUCUCAUAAGAGGAAACAAUAGAAGUCCGACGGAAAAUAAGAAAUUACGAUAAAGACAGAUUAAAAAGGUAACAUAAUUUUGUUGACUACUUUCUAGCUGCUAUUUAAUACUGUUCACUUUUACGUGUUCACUUUUAAGUUCGUUUUGGUACGAGAGUAAUUUUAUACUUAAUUGAAUAAAAAUCACGAAUAUUUAGUUUGAAUUAGUUACUAUUUCAUAUUAUAUUGAUCACACAGUCAAAAUAAAAUAACUCAUAUCGAAAUAACUUGUUCCCACUUUUCUAACCAAACAACAAGAUGAAUUAACAAUCUUGAAAAUAACUCAUUUCGAAAUAACUUAUUUUCUAACCAAAUAAAUAAAUUUCAUUUUUUAUCUUGCUUUUACUUUAGUUUUUUAUAUUCGGUUCAUUUUUUUUUAGUUAAGAUUUUGAUAUAAGUUCUUUUAAAUAUAUUUUUAUUUUAAUAAGAUAUAAUAAGUAUUUAAUAUUUCUUUCUAGAAAAUAUAAAAUAUAAAAUAUAAAAAGAAUCAUGACAUUAUAUUAAAAUAUACUCCUAACAUUAAUAAAAAUAAAAGUUAUGAAAUGCAUAAAUCAAACCAGAAAUAAUGAAAAUAAACGUAAUUUAAAUUAAGUCAUACUCCCUCUGUCCCUAAUUACUUGUCCACUUUUGAAUUGACACACCUAUUAAGAAAUUAAUUAAUGACAUAGCGAAUUUACCAUUUUAUCCCUAUUAAUUAUGAAGUGGAUGAAAAGUUUUGCAUUUUUCAAAGUAAUUAGUCAUUUAAUUGAGGGUAUAAUAGGUAAAAAAAAUUUGUCCUUUCUUGAUUUGUCAAAAUGGACAAGUAAUUAGGGACAACUAUAAAAGGAAAAGUGGACAAGUAAUUAGGGACAGAUGAAGUAUUAUUUAAAAGGGAAAAUGGACUGAAAAAUACUACAACUUUGACCGAAAUUGUUGUUACGAUACCAAACUUUAUGGAUGACUUUUUACCCCUGCACUAUUUAAUAGUGUAUUUUAAAUGUAUGUUUAUGCCCACGUGGACACAUUACUAUUUAUAAUGAUGCAAUAUUUAUGAUGUCAACGUGGACACAUAUAUAUACCUUUAAAAUAUACUAUUAAAUAGUGCAGAGGGGUAAAAAGUCCUUUUCAAAGUUCGAUAUCGUAACAACAAUUUCAGUCAAAAUUUGAGUAUAUUUCAGACUUUUUUCCCUAUUUAAAAUCGAGAAAAAAGAUCUCCACGUAUAUUAUUGAUUUUGUUUGAUUUUAAUUUGACUUCUUAAUUAAUAUCAAAUUAAACAAAUUAUAACUUCUUUUUUUUAAAUAUCAAACUAAAUUACUAAUCUCUUUAUUCCAAUUUAAUUUAAUUUUUUGAUUUUCUUCAAACAUUUCUAUCAAAAUUUUAUUUAUUUUAAUAUUCAUAAGUUACCGUGAUUAUAUAUCUAAUAAAAUUUCAUACGUAAAGUUUGAGAAGAUAGAAUAUUUUACACACUUUAUCUUUAUUUUAUAAAGAUAGAGAGUUUGUUUUCCAGUAAAAUAAGAAAACAUAGCAAAAAUAUAUAUACUAAAAAUAAAUUAAGUCACCUUCUCCACCAUUUUUCUUCACAACAAUAUGCCCUUCAACUAAAACCGCCAUUAACAAAAGCUUCGAACAGUCAGUCAUAUUUCUCUUUUAUUUUUUUUAAUUUUUUUUGUAUUACCUCUUUAAAUCCAUAUUUUGGUUACUCAUCUAAAUACCGAGAAAUAAGAGGGAAAAGUACAAUUUUUUAUAAUUUUUUUAAAUAAUUUUUUUUUGGUUUUGGGUAAUAUCCAUUACAAAUUCAGUUUUUUUUUUCUCUUUUUGUAUACCCAUUUUGAUCUGAAGUGUUAAUUAAUUUCUGGGUGUUGAAGAUUUCAAGCGAAUCUAUUGUGGUAAUAUUAUUUUUUUGAUAUUUAUUUGUGUUUUGUUUGAUUCUUGAUUUAUUGAUAUUGGGAGUUUGGUGUAACUGUAAGUAUUUAUUAUAUGUUUGAAUUUAUUCAUUGGAAGUUAAUGAUUAUUUGUCAUUUGGCUUUUUAUUUAUUUUUCUAGUUGAUUGAUGUAAUCUGCAUAUCAAUUAAAAUGAUUAUGCUUUUGAAGAACUUAAAUACUGCUUUUUAUGCUAAUUUCGAAGUUUAUGAGUUUGUAUAUAGUAAAAUGUGUUUCUGUAUUAGCUUGGGGACAAAAAGUUUACUCAUUGUCAUAGAUAUGGGAUUGAAGGGAGCGAAAUGGAUAGAGACGAUUCAUAAAGCCGAUCCUUUUUAGUUCAGGAUUGAGGUGCAAUAGUCAAUUAAAGUCUUUUCCUAGCAGCUGAUUAUAGGUUCACGUGAACCAGUAGUUUUUGCUAAGAUGACUACAACAAUAUACUCAGUAUAAAUCCCAUAAAGUGGAGUCUGGGGAGGGUAGAGUGUACGCAGACCUUACCUCUACCUUAGAGGUAGAGAGGUCGUCUCCGAUAGACCCUUGGCUUAAGGGAUAGCUUCUGCUAAGACUUUAUAUAAAUAUUAAAAUCUACUAAAAUAUUUAUAGUGAUAGCUUAAGGUCGUUAUAGGAACCAUAAAUUUCAAAUCUUGGUUCCGUCUCUGGUAGUUGAUUUACCUUAAUGAACUAGAAACUACAAUGUGUUGGCCUUUUCUGACCAUAGAUUGCAUUAAGUUUAAUGAAGUGAACACUUAGUUCCAGAUUGAGGCAUAAUAGUUAAUUAAAGUCUUUUCCUAGCAGCUGACAAGAGUGGAUUUAGAGGCUAAUCUUGGUUCCGCCUCUAGCAGCUGAUUUACCUUAAUGAACUAGACAUUACAAUGUGAGGGCCUUUUCUGACCAUAGAUUGCACUAAGUUUGAUGAAGUGAACACUUAAAUCUGUUGUUGGAUUGUUUGGUUAGUUACUUAUCAAAUUUCUAUAGUUGGAUCACUAGCCGUAGUAGUUGCUGGUGUGGAUUAUGUUUAUGACCUUCAAGUGGAGUGGAAGUUAAGUUAUUUAGCAUGCGAUACUAGAUGCAACUGGAAAUUAGAGGAGCAUAACUAUUGAAAAUUAGUCAUUGUUGAUCAUUGUUGCAAACAUAAAUUGACACAUACAAAAGCCUAGUCUAGAUGAUCUCAUAUUUUUAAAGAGGCGGCACAGACACUUCAACUUGGUAUCAGAGGAAGCAGUGGUCAUGAAUUCAAGUCUGUCUGGCACUCGCAAAUAAAACAUGUUUUUACCUACUUGGCCUAAGAAAAAAAAAUCAUGUCUACCCAUGAUUGACCGUGUUGCAGGCUUUAUUGAAGAAAAAAAAGGAAAAUGUCCUCUCUCUAAUAGGUUAAGCUUCUAGAUGACAUUCAACCAUUUCUAGAAGACAUUUAACCUUUUCUGCUCAAAACUAUUCAACAGAAUUUUGUGCAUGAUGUAGGGUAUGGCUUUAGUUGUGCAGCAUUUAGGGAAAUUGAUUCUGUUGUGCUGUCAACUCGUGUACAGUUCUGCAUUUCAAAUGAGAGAGAUAUUGUUAUUUACUCCAGCUCAUUGUGGGUGUAUUUUGUGUCCUCAAGUCAUUCUUUGCAUGGGCGGGCUAGACUCUUGUCAGUCGCUAUGCAAUGACCUAACAAGUUGACAGUGGCUAAUGAACUUCGGAUGUUUACUUUAACUAUACUUUUAAGAUAGAUAGUUCAACAUCUUGGAAACUUAAGCAUCAAUUAGCCCUACUGAGAGGAUAUGAAGUGAGGAAGAGACACUGAUGACAAAGUUUGAUGAAAGUAUAACUUGUGUGUUUGUGUGUGUGCAGACACGCACUCAAACACAUGCCUUAGUUUUGUAUUCCCUUGUAGGGUCAGGAAUUGAAGUUUGUUUAAUUGUUGCUAGUUUCUUAUUCUGGCUUGGUAGGCAGCAAUAGCUGGGAAUGCUACCUGUUUGGGGCUGAUAACCAAAGGCUGAUUAUGUAUACAAAAAAGAGUGAAGGAUUAUGUAUGAGAACUUGUUCAAGAUGGAAGAAAAGAAAAAGUAAUAAAAGAAUCUAUGUAUUGAACUUUAUCCCAAAAAGGAAAAAAUAAUCUAUGUUGCCGAACUAAAUUAGAAAAAAAGAAGAAGAGUGAUAUUAGAAGUGGGCUUUUCAUUUUACGUGGAUUUGUGGAAGGAAGGAAAUAUGUAAGUUGUUCAACAGUUCGAUAUUUAUAUUUGGAUAAUUUUUUUUAAAUUAUGAAAUCUGAUAAAAAGGGAAACUUGAACAUCCAAUUUACGCUAGUUCUUGAUUAAGCAUUUAAUUCAGUCUCUCCCCACCCUCUUUUUUUCUCCCGUUUUGCCUUCAUUGGUGUUUGAAUACAAUAUUGUAACCUUGUUUAUGGAUAUUUUUCUCUUGUUAUUGCUUUGUACAUAGGUCUCACGCUCUUGACAUUCAAUUUGGGCUUCAGCAAGAAGAACAAAUUUGUAUUAGAAACAAUUUCUGGUAUGUCACACGGUCAAGAAAAGUUGUUUGAUCUUUUAACGGCAUUUUACUUAGUGAAUCUCCUUAAUUGCAAACUUCUGUGGGGUUAGGCGAUGGUGGGGAGCUCUUUGCCAAUUGUAACUGGCAGCAUUGGAUUGUUUUGAGCUAUGUUACUCAGACUCUUCAAAAUCCUUGCCGCACCCGUGUUGGCAUGACAUGGGUGUGGGAUCCACACUUGAUUUGCUUAACUUACCUUGGGUGCUUUGACUACAUCUAUGACCGAGAAGUACAGAUUGAUUAGGUAUUUGGCUCGAUUUUUGGGUUUAUAGCAUAUAUACGUAGUUACAUAAAGCAUGAGAAUGCUUUGCUAUUACACGAGAUAUUUUACAAAUAAAAACUAUUAGGUGUUUAUAAAGAAUUAAAUUGUAUUAGUUUCAGUGUCAUAGCUUUAAUUAAUCGAGAUGUAUACUUUGUAUGUCAUAGUAUACAUUUAUUGUCCAUACUCCAGCACCCAUAUUCACAUUCAAAUUAGUGACCCCGAAUCUCAAAACUUAUGUGAUGAAGAAUCUGACCUUUAGAUUCACACCCGUAUUGGAUAUCCACACCCAAGUCCGAGCAAUUUAAGUUUUGAGAGUGCAUUCAACAAAAAUGUUUAGUAUAAAAUAGAUUGAAGAUGAUGUGAAUGUGAGAUGACUUUUAACCUAUACUCUUGUUAAAUCAGUUUGUGUCUUUCACCUCUCCCUCUCCGUCCCUGUCUCCCUCUUCCUCUACCUCUACCUCUACCUCUCCGCACCGAUCUCCCUCUUCCUCUACCUCUCCGCCUCCGUCUUCCUCUCAAUUUCAUUUUCAUAUCUUCGAUUCAUUAAAGCAAGUAAUCCUCUACUUAAAUUUUUCUUGUUAUGCUCUUUACAACUUUAUUGAUUGUAUGUUCUUUCCUUUCCUGGUGUUAUGCAGGUAGUCGUGUUUUUUCCUUUGAAGGAUUGAGAUCGUGAUCUCAACUCUCAGAUCUGUUUAUGCAUCUGCUGUUACAUAUGGGCUGAGAUAUAUAUUUCAUGGGAGGUGCAGAGGAUGAUGAACCACUCUCAAAACGUGUGAAAGUAUCAUUUGGAGAAUCAGCUGAUCAUUCGAACGGGAUAUUUCUUAGGGAUCCUGCAAGUUUCCCAUUGAGUGACUUGAUGGUUCGUCCUCUGGAAUUUCAAGGGGACGAUGAGAUUGUUGGUAGAAAAGGAGUAGUCAAGAAAGUUGAAUUAGUUCAGAUCAUAGCCGAGGCGUUAUAUUCUCUUGGCUAUAAGAAGGCGGGGGCGCAGCUAGAGGAAGAGUCAGGAAUACCUUUGCACCCCUCUUUAGUAAAUUUAUUUAUGCAGCAAAUCCUUGAUGGGAGAUGGGAUGAAAGUAUAGCCACAUUGCAUAAAAUUGGUCUUGUGGAUGAAAAAAUUGUGAAGUUGGCAUCUUUUAUGAUACUGGAGCAGAAGUUCUUUGAACUGUUAGACAGAGAAAAAGUCAUGGAUGCUUUGAAGACAUUGAGGACUGAAAUUGCACCUCUUUGCAUAAAUAGCGAUAGAGUCCGCAAUCUUUCGUUGUGCAUUCUAUCACCUUCACAACAGGUUGUCUCUGGGGAGUCAGGUCCAGAAAUAAUGAAAAUAAAAUUAAGGACAAAACUACUAGAAGAACUGCAAGGACUGUUUCCCACAACAGUCAUGCCUCCCGAAAAAAGAUUGAUCCAUCUGGUUGAACAGGGGCUUGAAUUUCAACUGGGGUCUUGUUCUCUUCACAACUCAUUAAUCAAUGACAUGUCGUUGCUCACUGAUCACCAUUGUGGAAUAGAUCAGAUUCCAUCUCAGACUUUGCAGGUUAGAUCACAUUUGAGUCUUGAUACUUGUUUAACCUGCAAGCAUUAUCAUUCCAGGAUUGGUUGUCAGUUAAUUGCAUUAUUAAUCACCUAAUAACUUAUUCCAUCUGUGUUUAAGUUUAUAUAUCAGUGACAGGUCUGAGGUGAUGUGUUGAUGAAGUUUCGAGUUUGUGCUUUCUAUUGUGUAAACUUUUGGUUAUUCCAUAAUUAAUUAUGCUAUCAUUGUGUCAAUUGUGUUUUUCCUAUAUUUUAUUCAGCAAAAGUACAAGUAUGUGUAUAAGGGUAUCACUGUGGUGCCUCAAUUCAAGCUUGUAUUGUAAAAUUAUACUAUAAUCAGGAAUAAGUAGAAUUUAUCCAGUUUCAUCUACUCUAGACCUCUUUUGUGUCUGUGAUAGAAGUCUAGGCAUAUUGCUGUCUUCCCAACGAUAAUCCUUUUACAAUACUGUAAUAUCCCUUCCUUGCCUUUGCUGGAAUGGAGGGAAAAUGUGAAGUCUAAGAUUCAUAUAGUAAACAACAUGUACAGUGUCAAUAGAUGAGAACUACACAGUUAUUCCACUAUAGUGUUCUUCUCCUUCAUUCUGUCAAUUUGGAUUCAUCUUUUAGACGUUCUAAAUUUGAAUGAGACCUGUGGAAGUGGGUUAUUGAUUAUCUUCCGUAGAUAUCAAAAAGAAAGUAUGCCCAUGUAUUUCCCUGUCCUUGAGAAUGAUGCAGAAAAGUUUGAUAUGUGACGACUUGGUUUGAGUUUUUCUUGUAGUGUCCUUGUAUAGAGCUUGAUUGCAUAUAUUCCUCAUACACAGGCUUUUUUUCCUUCUUUUAACAAUGAUAUCAUUGACUUGACUAUGAUUGGUAGAAGGGCUUAGAUCCUUUUUUUGGUUGUUGAGAAUGAAGGGGUUUAGAUCAAUUAUUAAAAGCUGAAAGUAAAAGAAAUAACAGAAGGGUUUUUUUUUUUGAUUUGCACCGGGUGUCCGAGUCUCUUUGAGCCCCGACUAAUCCCGGGGGUGCACAGGCCCUCGGCAAGGAGUUUCCCGCAAGUGCACCACGGUUAAUUCAGGUUUUACCCAGUCCGAUGGCCCUCAGAAAUUGUUUGCACCCAGUGGGUUUCGAACUUGAGACCUUGAAAGGGAGCAAACCCCAAGGCUCAAGUCAAUUGCCAGCAGGCCAACCCCUGAGGGUUUAACAGAAGGGUUUGUUGAUCACGUUGAGCUCUAAUCCUUUCUUCAUUGUUUGUCGUGCACCAGAUUUUAGAAGGACACAAAGAUGAAGUCUGGUUUUUGGAGUUCUCUCAUAACGGGAAAUACCUAGCCUCGUCAUCUGCGGAUUGUUCAGUAAUUAUAUGGGAGGUAAGUUGAAGUGCUAUUAAAUAUUGCUCAAUAGAUUUUUGCUUUAUCAAAAGUCAUCUUGUCUAUUGCUUGUCAUAUCCUCUAUUAAUAUAUUUUUAAUUGAACUUUUCUCCAUUGUAUUUCUUCUCUCUUUGCACCCGAUGCCAUAAUUUUCUUGCAUGACCUUUAUCUUUUUCCUUUAACUAAUAAUUUCAGAAAAAAAUAGCACUGUUUUUGCUUCACUUUUCCAUGCAGUGCCACAAAUGGAAUGUUUCUUUUUUGUAGAUUCCACUGAUGUAUCUUUAGUAUGACAGUAGAAAGUCCUUCGUCCAUUUCCAUAACUGAUAAACCUUUAGAGAGAGUAGCUCCUCUUCCUCUCCAGAACUCUAACAAUACCAACUUCUUUCUUUUUCAUCAUCACACUAGCUAUCUUUCCUAAUUCCUUUCUGAGUGUCUUCUUUCCCAUGUUAGUCUUAACGAGAUAACCAUAUCCUCAGCUAUUUUUACCAAUACAUCUUUAUGAUUAAGUCUUGCUUCCCAAAUGAUUCCCAGUUCAUUCAUAUUUUAUCUAUCCCACAAUACCAUUUAAACAUUGUGUAACAUUCAUUCUCUGACCUAAAGAAUCCUAUUAUAGGUAUAUAUGAUUUUACAGUUCAGAGAACAAGGGAAAAGUGAGCUAUUAUUGCUGAAAAUAUGAAUUUUAAUGGUAGAUUUGACUGACGAUUUAAGUUCACCUCUCAAUUAUUUGCCCUUUUGCAGGUGAAGUUUGAUGGAAGGUUAUGCUUGAAGCACAAAGUUCUUGGUCAUGAGGAACCUGUGUGCUUUAUAUCAUGGAGCCCUGAUGACAGUAAGCUUCUCACCUGUGGAGUGGAAGAGGUUGUUAGACUGUGGGAUGUAGACUCCGGUGAGUGUAUACAUCUUUAUGAGAAAAAUGGUCUUGGUUUGAUUUCGUGUGGAUGGGCUCCCGAUGGGGAAAGGAUAUUUUGCGCUGUUACUGACAAAAGCAUUAGCAUGUGGGAUCUUGAAGGGAAAGAGCUGCAGUGUUGGAAAGGCCAUCGGGUUACUAAAAUAGCUGAUUUGGGGAUAACAAGUGAUGGGAAACACAUGGUCUCUGUUUGUAAAGAUAAUGUGAUACUGUUAGUUGGAUUGGAAUCAAAAACAGAGCAAAUAAUUCUAGAGGAUGAAGUAAUAACUUCAUUUGUAUUGUCCGCAGACGGUAGAUACAUAUUGAUAAGUCUGUUAAAUCAAGAAAUCCAUCUUUGGAGUAUAGAUGGGAUUAUAAAACUCUUACACAUCUAUAAAGGCCAUAAGCAAAAACGCUUCAUCGUAAGGCCUUGCUUUGGUGGACUUCGUCAAGCUUUCAUCGCCAGUGGAAGUGAGGAUUCACAGGUACUUAUUUCGUUGAUUGAGAAGCCAAAUCUUUUUGUUAGUAUGAUUUGUACGCUUAGUUGAAGAUUCAAGCAAUUUGACAAUUCUACUGUCAUCAAAUUAGACAGGCAUCUUUUAAGAUGGUUUUUGACCGCAAAUGCAUCUUUUUCAUGACCAGAAUAGAAACUUCCUUUUUCUACAUCAGGAAUACGGUAGUUGUGUUUUUGACCCUUCGCUCUUUUUUAUUAACAAUCAAAUGUAAGGUUCAAGAUCAUCCCGUGACAGCGUCCUGCUUUUUUUUUUCUUUGUUUAUGCUUUGACAUCUUUAUUGUCGUGGAAAGAAUACUUUCUUAAUGUUAUAUCCAGGGGAGAGAAAUUGAUCUUGAUCUAAUACCGUAUUUCAGAUAUAUAUAUGGCACAGAUGCUCACAACAACUCCUCGGGAAGUUAGCUGGACAUACUGGGACUGUCAACUGUGUUAGUUGGAACCCAGCAAAUCCUCAUAUGCUGGCAUCAGGAGGUGAUGAUCGGACCAUUCGCAUAUGGGGCUUGAAUCCUGCAAACGUGAUGAAGCACAAUGACGAGGGAGCUGUAAGUAAUGGUGUGAACGACUGCAAUUGCAGAACGUGAAGUCUUGGAGGUGAAUUAGCGAGUGAGUCGUUACAAGAUUUCUCUCCAUAACCAGUUGCUUUCGAUGUAUAAUCUCUUACAUCAUUAAGCUAAACAUUUGAGACAAACAAGAAUGUACAAUUUGCAUUCAGUCCAGAAAUAAAUGUUGAACUUCUCCAUCUCUCUCUCUUUUUGGUUGAUUUCCUAUGGGUUCCUGUUGUUGUUACUGCUUAUGUCUUCAUAAAUGUCGUGUUUUUGCUUUUCGUGAGCCGAGGGUCUAUUGUAAACAACCUCUCUACCUGUCAAGGUAGGGGUAAGGUCUACGUACAUUCUACCCUCCCAAGGUCUGCGUAUAUAUAUAUAUAUAUCAAUUAUUUGAUUGGGCUGCUAUUGACUUGGGUUUUAACCUAAUUCAAGUCGAAGAAACUUAUUCCAGUGUUCAUCUACUUUCAAUUUCCUCAACUUCGCCAGAGCCAUCUGGUAUGGAGGGAUAGAAAUAUGAUUUUUUUUGGUAUAUACUCUCAGUUAGGGGAGUUCACGGUUUGGAUAAAAACCGAUCCAAACCGAAAAACCAAACCAAAUCGAUAAAAAUAAAAUCGAUUUUAUUUGGAUUUGGUUUGGUUUGGUUUUAGAUUUUUGAAAACCGAUAGUAUUUGGUUUGGUUAUGGUUUAUUCAAAAAAACCGAAGAAUAACCAAACCGAACCGAUGAAUUAUAUACAUAUAUUUUAUUAAUAUACAUACUUAAUAUAUUAUUUUUAUAAACAAUUUUAAAGAUCUUAUACAUAUUUUCAUUAAAAUUUCUUUAUAAUUUACUUAUUGAAAGCAAAAAUGCCCAAGAUGAAACAUUUAUCUUAUUGAUUUCAUGUAUAUGAGUGUCUAUAUCAAUUCUUUGUGGGACUGAAAAUGUUAUUGUCUCUUCCUUCUAGGCCAAUAUAGUGAAUUUUAAAGCUUUAUUGAUAGUAAAUUUAGUGAUUGAAAGUUUUACUAAUUUAAGUCAUUCUAACUAUUUUUCGUUUUGAAUGGAUUGUUUUCACUUUUUUCACAUUUUAAAUGAAUUGUUUCUUUUAUUUUUGUGUAUGGUUAAUAACCGAAUAACCGAACCAAACCAAACCGAUACCGAUAAUAACCAAACCGAUAAAUGUAUAUUGUAUUUGGUUUGAUUUGGUUUUAAUAAUUUUAAAACCGAUCAAGUUGGUUUGGUUUUGGUUUUGACCAAUAACCGAUCCAAACCAACCCGUGAACACCCCUACUCUCAGUUUAAAAUUUUAUCAGUCAAUUUCAGAUGGGCGUGUCCAAUCAGAAACAUUUUGAACGUAUGUUUUUCUAAUUGAACGUCGUCCAAUGAAAAUUGACUGAUUUAUAGUAGUAUAAGUUAGACACAAUAUCUAUAUUUGGUUUACCAUCACAUGAGAACAUCAUGAUCAGUAUCGAAACAAGAAUUUUCAUUUAAACGUCGAGAUUUAGAAUAUAAAGAAGUAAAGAUACAAAAAAGGCAAAGGUGAAUAUUUCAAGGAUUAAUUACCUAACUACAUAUCCUUUUCUACCAUAUUUUCUAUUAUUCCCUACCAUUUCCAAAAAUUACAAAAAUCCUUUUUUUCCAUAAUUUCUCUUACUUUUCCAGAUACAUCACCCCAAGAUUUAUUUUUCCUUUUUUCACGCCUAAAAUCGCGUAUCAUCAAAUUAUCUUCAUCACUCUAUUUUUGAAUUUCAAAUCUUUUCUCUUUCUGAUUUAUCAAUUGCAAGUUAUUGAAGAGAUAGUUAUUCUUCAUCUAUUUUUUUUCUUUCUACUUCAUCAGAUAGCGACUUUUUUUUUUUUUAGCUUUUUUCAUCUACAAAUUUAAUCGAAGAAGGAUGCAUCUUCAACUUCAAAAUCGAUUGUGGAAAAAAUGCCCAAAAAAAGGAGGAAAAGGUCGAGUUGUUGGUGCUCCGGUAAGGGCUUUGGGUCGAGAUCCAUGAGUGACGCCAUUGUUGAAAGUGAAAAAAAAAAUUGCGGAAGUUGAUGUAGAAAAAAAAGAAAGUGUAGAAGGAUUUCUUCAUCAUUUUUUUGCUUUCAGCAAAUCAGAUUGUUGAUUUUUUUUUCGAUUUUUUGUUGUUCAUUUUUUUCUGAUACAUAUGGGUUCAGAUCUUUUAAUGUAUGUAGUUGAUUUUGAUUUUUAAAUUAAUGUAUAAUUCAUUCGUUUCACCUUUAUGAUACAUUACAAUUUUAUCAGGUACAAUAUAUCGUUUUCAAAUAGUAGUUUGAUACAUAACCCUAAUUUAUUGAAACACAAAUUAGUAUGUAUCAUGUUCAUAGUUAUGUAUUGGAUACACAAAUACAAAUUUCGUUAUCUUUUACUACCGACACAUACACCCAGUCUUAUUCAACUAGUAGAAGGCUAUGUAUCUGUAGACACUAUCAAAUAUUAAUGUUGAUACAUAAACACUAAUGUUUUAUAACAAAAUCAGUUUGUAUCAUAUUCAUAGUAAUGUAUCAGAUGUUGUGAUGUAUAGCAUGUUGUUAUGUAUCUGCAACACUGUUUUAUAAAUAAAUCAGUUUUAUCAUAUUCAUAAAAAAAUUUUGUAUAUGGUACAUAACUAUAUAAAAUUAUUGACUUUUUUUUAAUCUGUUACGAUUUGGGAGAGAAUUUGAGAGAAGAAAAUUUGAAAUUUGAAUUGUUUGGAGCUGUUAUUUAGGAGAGAUUGACAUCAAUUUGAUUUGCAUGAUUUGGAAAACUGACAUUUAUUUUUAUAUUUAAUUUCAUUUUUAAUAUCAACAAAUUGGUUGUAUAAUGUAUCACAAUUAAUAUAUCCGGAUAAAAUUUAUGUAUUUGAAUAACUGAUAUUUGAUUUUUUUUUUUGUAAAAUAGAAAAAAGUAGAAAUAAAAUGUAAUUUAUGUCUUGUGGGAUUUAUUAAGUUAUACAUAUUUCAAAAGUGCGUAAACAUACGAAAUUUACCAUUUCAAUUCAACAAAUCCAACAAUUGUUUGGAUAAUUUUGAUUUGGGCCGACUAACAAUACAUCUCUCAACAAUAAACAAAAACAAACAAACAUUUUAUCUAUAAAAAAAAUCGAUGAUCAUACAUGAAAUUAAUCAAUCAAACUUACGAUAAAAUCUCAAACAUUGAGAUUUUUCUUUAUUCAAAAUCGUAAUUUUAUUUUUUAUUUUUUAUUUUUCUUAAAUAUUGAGAUUUUUCUUUAUUCAAAAUCGUAAUUUUAUUUUUUAUUUUUUACAAUUAUUAAUUUAAGAAGCCGCAGCGGCCGCGGCGGGAGCAGGAGCAUCAGCAGCAGCUGAACAAACAGCUGGAAUUUGUUUACCCUUAAAAUUUGGCUUAAUAUUUUCACAACUUGAUUUUGCUGGUCCUUCUUUACCACUAUAUGAGAUGUCAAUGUCUCCAACUUCAACACCUUCACAUGGUGAGCCUUUGCUACAAAGUAGUGUGACUGCAUUUUGAGUUCUUGAUGUACCUUUUAUGUUUUGGAUAGACACCUUGCUAAUCUUCACUUGUGAAGGCAACUACAAAAAAAUAAUAAUAAAUAAAUAAGAAAAUUAGAUUAGGAUCGUGAAAUAUCGAUGUAUAAAAGUUAUUGUUGUAUGUGUGACUAGAAGGUAUAAGUAAGGUUGUGUGUAAUAGGUUUAGUAUGCAUAUGUGCAUAGUAGGUGGGUGGAGCCACUUUUGAACUUCAGACCGAUGGUCUGAUGUUGAAAAAGUGGUUAACUCUUAAAUAUAGGGCGAGACAAAAGUGGUUAUUUUUUGCAAAUUAGCUAGACAAAGUGGUCAACUCUAUCUAUUAAGAGGUUAUCUAUGCACGAAAAAAAUAUCAUAGAUCAGGAAGAAAACCUUAGUGUAAUGAUAAAAAAACUUAUCGAUAUGUGACUAGAAAACCAGGAUGAAACCCAUGGAAAUAUAGUCCUUUUUGUAAAAAAAAAAAAUGCAAGUAAAACCAUGCACAAUAGAUUCAAUGUGAUUCAUUGGGCCACAUUUUCAAAACUUUAGCCCAAUGGUCUAAUUUUUAAGAAGUUUUCAAAAGUGGCUAGUUUUUAAAUACAAAGCAACAAAAGUGGUUAUUUUUGUAAAAGUAUCCAUGUAAAACACUUGGUAUGCGAUAGAGCGAUACUUAAAAGAAUGUAAAGAUCUCAACCAUCUGAACUACUAAUAAUUAUAAAAGUAAAGGUACGUAUGUACGUACGAUCAAGCGAUAUAUAAUACUUACAUCUUUGUUGCAUUUUCCACUUGGACAAUAAACUUGAUCAAUGACAAUAGGAUUGCUAACAUUUUGCACAAUGAUAUCUUCAAAAUGUAUAUCAGAUACAACACCAGGAUGAGAAGCAGGCCAUGUCUUGAUCCUAACACCAUUAUCAGUGCUAGUAAAAGUGCAAUUUUUAACAAAAACACCAACAACUGGCUUUUCACCAGGAUUUCCACCAAGGCUACCAACACUAAUACCAUGACCAGGUCCACAAGUGACUUUGGUGAUGUAAAGUUGUUCCGUUUCAUCGCCAAUGGAGAUGCAAUCAUCUCCAGUGGAGAAAGCAGACUCUGUGAUAUUCACAGAGCUUGCUCUCGCCACGUGGAUCCCAUCAGUGUUCGGGCUAUUAGCCGGAGCACUGACAUUGAAGUUGAUGAAUGUUAAGUUCUUGCAUUGGUUAACAUUCACAUGAAAUGAUUUGCUAUCCAAUGUUGUUAUGUCCUUGAUUAUGGAAUUUGUGAGGGAGUUGAAGCUCAAAUUCUACACCAAAAAAAAAAAAAACAAAUAGAGUUAGUUAGUGCGCGUUUGAUCGUGAAAAUAAUUUUUGACUAAUUAAUUAAUUACCUAAAAUAUAUAAUCAAAUCUGCUAUAAAAGAGUAAUAUGUCAAAGUAGAGAUAGUCACACAUAUUGUCAUAGAUUAGAUCUCAUAUACAAGCUACAUACUCUUUGCAAAUUAAUUAAUAAUAUUUGAUUGUUUGAUUGUACUUUUUCUUUUAAAAAAACAUGAAAUAUAAUUAAAAUGAGUUUAUUUUUAUAAAAUAAAAAGUUUAGGGUAAAUUUGAAAAUGAAAAAAAUUCUAGUUGUAUUCAGAAUUUUCAUGGUCAAACGCUGAUUUCUGAGUAAAGUAAAAAAAAAAUUCGGAAAAAAAAUAAUCAAAUAGAAACUGUUACUCUUUUCAAAUGUUUUUUUUCGAUCAGACGAAAUAGAUUUUGAAAGUUUGAUCAAACAGAAACAAACAGGACUUACAUUGGGAAGCUUGGUGCACUUUUUGGACUGUUUGCAUUCCCAUGCAGCUUUACCUUGACCAUCAAGUGUUCCACCACCAGACAUUGUGAAGAAAUCAAGUUUGUUGACUGUUAACCAUUCACCAACCUUGAUUGCAUUAGGGUCUGAAGGAGCUUUCAAAAUGGCUUGAAUUUGAAGUUCAAUAGGGCCUUUGCAUGGUCCUUCUAAUUUCACUUGGUUCAUUUGGAAUGUUCCUUUUGGGAUCACUAUUGUACUUGGACUUGUUGAUGCACAUGCCUCUUUAAAAGCUUUCCCCACAGCCUAAACAUUUUAAUAAUAAAAAAUUUCAUCACCAAAAAAUGAAAAAAAAAGAUGAAGAGAGAAUAUAUUGUAUAGUUAGUUUUGAAGAUAUUGUAAGGUGCUAGCUUUGUUUUUUCUUCUUAUAUUGAUGUGGUGUCUGAUCAGCUUGUGUGUAAUUUGAUUAUGUCAUAUGACAUCUGCAUGCUACAUUUCACCAGUACAUAUGUUGAAUAACUCUGUCAUUCAAGACUUAGGCAUAUAAAUUCUGUGAUUUGAUUGUAAACUUAAUCUUACAUGAUUUUAAUUCACUUCAUAAUCACUAGACCUUGAUCGUGACCGAGUCAAAUAAAUUAAUAAAGGGGUUCAAAAAAUAUUACAUUUGAGAUUUGAACCUAUGACCUAAAGAAAAUUUUGAAUUUCGUUUGCUACCACACUAUCUUCUUUUUAUAUAUGUAACUGACAUUCAACGAUUUAUAAUCAUUUUUGUCUUAUUUAUGCAUUAUAAUUUUCAAACAAAUGAGAUUCAACUGAAUCUGUUUUCGUACACGUAACUCCGCCCUUGGCUAGGCCACAUCCUUCGGUGCAAUAACGUACUUAUUUUAUUCAUCAUUUAAAAACAAAAUGGUAUUUUUUUUUAAAAGUAGGUAUAUAGUAGGUUGAAAUCAACAAAAUAAUGAUAAAAAAAAUGCAUGACUUACCUCACUAAUAUCAGCAUUGGCAUUGGCACCAUAUUUAGUUAUAUCAAAAGUUGCAUUUUGAGAUUCUCCAAGAUGUGCUAGAAAUAACACACCCAACCCAAAAUAAACCAACUUUAAUUUCAUAUCCAUUUUUUUUUUUUUUGAAGUUUUUUUUUUUUUUUUUUUUUUUGUUGAAGUUUUUUGGGGUAAUAUAUACUUCAAUUUAUGAAUUUGUAAAGUGAAUGUUGAAGCCUUUUUAUAGUGUAAAAAAAUUGGCACAAUUGAAACAUUCCACCUAUUUUAAACCAUAGAUUGAGUUGCGGAGAAGAAGUUGGAAAUUAGUUGUACAUGGUCUAAUUUUUUUUUAAAAUUGGGGGUAGGACAAGAGCGGAUUUAGAGGGUAGCGAGGGAUUCACUUGAACAUUUUCGAUAAAAAAUUACAUGAUAUAUUUAAGAUAUUUUAAAUUUUUUAUGUAUGUAUAAAGAUUUUGAACGUCUUGGAUAUAAGAUUAAAGGUUGAUUUAGUGGUUGAGGUGAUCAAGUUCAAAUUCCUCACAUAUAUUUUUGUUUUUCCGAACUCCCUUAAUGAAAAUCUUGGAUCUGUCAUAAGUAUAGAGAUAGGGGCAGUGGCGGAGUCACACACCCCUUCGUCGAAAAACUACACUGUUAUAUAAAUAUAUAUAUAUAUAUAUAUAACACGCUUUGGCUUCUAAGCGAUUUUACUUCUUUAUGUUUUGACACACGUUGGUCGAAAUUUGACUCUACCACUGAAUAGGGGUAGGGAUAGGGGAACAAAGAGGGGAUUAUAUGAUGGGGAAUCGAACUCUCACCAACUAAGUGCAUGAGAGUUCAUGUAACCAACUAAGAUACUAUGAUUCUCCACUUUCCCGUUUUACUUGGUUUAGAAGUGCAAUAAAAAUUAAAUAUUUGUGUAUUAUUUUGGGAAUAUGAAAUAACUAUUUCUUGAAAUUUCCUAGUAAGUUGCAUUCAGAGUGCAUAUCGCACAAGUCAAUCUCGUUAAGUCUUUGUGAGAUAUUUGGAUUUCUUGUCCUCCUUUGAGACACGACAGUCUAUAAACUUAUGUCCAUUUUUUCCACAGUUAUAACGGCUGUCCUUGAACUUUUUCUUGUUUGGAAAAUUCUAGUAGUCUAGAGUUUUAUUUAGUCAACAUCUUCACUUUUGUAUUUCUUUUUAAGAAUAUCCUUCAAUUUUUUAAAAAUACAAAUAUUAUUGUGGAAGUUAUACAAAUAAUAAUCCUACCAAAAAAAAUAUUAGAGUAUUUCUAAGCCUCUGUCGAUUUUAUGUCAACAAUGUGUAUUGAAACUUUGGGUUGGUUUUAUUAUAUACCUAUUUGGGACUUGUUGGGAUGGUAGGGGUGUCAACUGUUUUUAAAAAAUUGAUUUACCUGAUCGAUUCGAACUGUAUCAAAUAAAAUUGAUAUUUUUUAUAUAAAUUUAUAAUUGUACCGAAUAAUUAGGAAGGUUUUUUAUUUUAUAAAAAUUAAUUGAAAAAAUAUUUAACCGUACCAAAUAAUAUAUGUAUAAAAUAUAUAUUACACAUUAUGUUUAAAAAUAAUAAAAUUUUUGCUUUAGACCCAGGAUAAUGGAAGCGAUAACAUAAUUAACACUCAAAGUUCUAACACUUGAAAUUUUUAUAGAUUUAGGAGUGUGCAUUCGAUUUGGUUUAGUAUUAUUUGUUCCGAUUUUUUAUUUUGAAAAAGUAUAAUCCAACCCAAACUCAAAUAAAUUUGAUUUAGUUUGGCGUUUUUCAAUUCGCUUUUUCGGUCAUGUCAAUAAUCAAUAAUAUAAUCAAAGUUAUAUUUUGCAUGUUGAAAAAAAUAUAAAUAUACAAGAAGAAAUUAUAAUAUUGAACUCUCAAAUAUAUCUAAUAUAAAUCAAAACUAAAACUUAAAAUACAAUACUUAAAAAUAGAUCAAUAGAUGUCCAAACAUAAAAUAUAAACUAAAUUAUAUUAAAAGAUAAUAAUUAAAAAGGGACAAACGUGGUUAAUUUCAACUUUAAUUCUAAACCUAUAUAUAUAUAUAUACACACCUAUACAAGAUUUGAACCUGUAUAUUUGUUGUCAUUCAUUUUUACAUGAUGUUGUACUUAUAUUAUAAACGGAAAAGGCUUUAAACAUGUUAUCGAAUUAUGAAAAAAGACUCAUCUAUGCAAUCCGUUAAAAGUUUGGCUCAUUUUUAUCGGUUCAUUCAUCCUAUUAUUUGUUAACUGAAAUGUCAUUUCCGUUAAAAGGCUCUAGUAUCGCAACGAGUUCUUUCUCCUUGAUUUGGUUCAAAGUAAUUGCUAGCCAACCACUCAAAUUCAUUCUCAAAUCAUAAAUUUAUAGAUUUAAAUGAUACUUACAAAAUUGAUUUAGUAAAUUGAGUAAGAAAAAAUGGAAAAGGGUCAAAAAUACCAUUAAACUAUCCAAAAUAGAUCAUAUUUACCCUUAAACUAUAUUUCGGCUCAAAACUACCCUUCCCGUCAAACUAUUGGGUCAAAAGUGUCCUUAAUAACAGAAAUUGUUAAAUGCCACAUGGAUGCCAUGUGGAUGCCACAUUGCACGCCAAUAGGGGUUCCACUGCCACAUAGACUAAACGGAAAAGGGUCAAAAAUACCAUUAAACUAUUCAAAAUAACUCAUAUUUACCCUUAAACUAUAUUUCAACUCAAAAUUACCUUUCCCAUCAAACUAUUGGAUCAAAAGUACCUUCUUAUUGACGGAAGUUGUUAAAUGUCAUGUGGAUGCCACAUUGCAUGCCAAUAGGGUUCCAUGCCACAUAGACUAAAAUUCCUAAAAUCCUAAUUACUCCUCCCCCCCCCCCCCCCGUCAUUUCAUUAUUUUCCAUAAAACGAUUUCACCCCUUCUCCCUCAUUUCGCAGCUAGGGUUUCACAGUUUUCUUCGUGGCUGGGUUUCAAAGUAGAUAUUCGUGGUUGUAGGUUAGUAAAUCUUUUUUCUUAUUUUAUUAUGUUUACGACUUUCCAAAAGCAUGAUAGUUAUGAUUUCACAACUUUCCCCUCAUUUCGCGGCUAGGGUUUCAUAACUUUCUUCGGGGCUGAAUUUCAAUGUGGAUAUUCGUGUUGUAGGUUAGUAAAUCUUUUUUGUUAUUUCAGUAUGUUUGCGAUUUCAAAGCAUGAUAGUUAGGAUUUCACAACUUUUCCCUCAUUUCGUGGCUAGGGUUUCAUAGCUUUCUUCGGAGCUGGGUUUCAAAGUGGAUAUUCGUGGUUGUAAACAUAAUAAAAUAAGAAAAAAGAUUUUACUAACCUACAACCACGAAUAUCCACUUUAAAACCCAGCGACGAAGAAAACUGUGAAACCCUAGCCGCGAAAUGAGGGAGAAUGGGUGAAAUUGUUUCUGGAAAAUAAUGAAAUGAGGGGAAAAAAGUAAUCAAAAUUUAGUGAUUUAGUCUAUGUGGCAGUGGAACCCUAUUGGCGUGCAAUGUGGCAUCCACAUGGAAUUCACAUGGCAUUUAACAACUUCCGUUAAUAAGAAGGGCACUUUUGACGACCCAAUAGUUUGACGGAAAUGGUAGCUUUGAGCCGAAAUAUAGUUUAAGGGUAAAUAUGAGCUAUUUCGAAUAGUUUGAGGGUAUUUUUUACCCUUUUCCUUUUAGUCUAUGAGGCAGUGGAAUCCUAUUGGCGUGCAAUCUGGAAUCCACAUGGCAUUUAACAACUUCCGUUAAUAAGAAGGGCACUUUUGACCUAAUAGUUUGAUGGAAAGGGUAGUUUUGAGCCGAAAUAUAGUUUAGGGAUAAAUAUGAGCUAUUUCAGAUAGUUUAAGGGUAUUUUUGACCAUUUUCCGAAGAAAAAAUUGUAAGUUCAACGAUCAUAUGAAAAAAAUAAAAUAACUUGAACUUACAAUAGAACUCAAAAAUAAAAUCAAUUAAGAAGACGAAGAAGGAGUAGGAGCAGCGGGAGCAGAAGCAGGGGAAGAAGCAAAGGCAGAGCAAACAGCUGGACUCUGUUUUCCCUUAAAAUUUGGCUUAAUAUUUUCACAACUUGAUUUUGCUGGUCCUUCUUUACCACUAUAUGAAAUGUCAAUGUCUCCAACUUCAACACCUUCACAUGGUGAGCCUUUGGUACAAAGUAGUGAUACUACACUUUGAGUUCUUGAUGUACCCUUUAUGUUUAGGAAUGUCACCUUGCUAAUCUUCACUUGUGAAGGCAACUGCAAAAGACGCGAUAAAGAAUGAUGAGUUGGAUGCAUGAAAGUUUAGUGUAACGAUAGAAAUUCAGAGUCGUUGUUGGUAUGUAUGACUAGGAGGUCACCAUGCAAGGGAUGGAAACCGCCUUUUGUAAAGGUAAGUAAAAUUGUGGACAAUAGAUUCAAUGUGAGGGCGAUCAGAUAACUAGGAUAAAACACUUUCUAUUAUGAUGUUAUCUAUUUUUGGUGCUGUAAAGAUAUGACACCUGGGCCUAACUCAACCUCAAAAGCUAGCUCUUGAGGGGAGGUUUGUCCAAGUUCAUAUAAGGAGACCAAAUUUCAUCCCUCUACGGAUGUGGGACUUUUUAACACUCCCCGCACUCCCAAACCUCAACUAGAUAGUGAACACUUCUAAAUGGGGGCCUAAUAUCGGUGAACAACAAAUCAGGAUGGGCCUGACUCUGAUACCAUGUGCAGCAUCUAUGCAUGACAAAAAAAGGAACGAUGCAAAGACAUGAAAACGCAAUACUUACAUCUUUGUUGCAUUUGCCACUUGGGCAAUAAACUUGAUCAAUGACAACAGGGUUGCUAACAUUUUGCACAAUGAUAUCUUCAAAAUGUAUGUCAAAGACAACACCAGGAUGAGAAGCAGGCCAUAUUUUAAUCCUAACACCAUUAUCAGUGCUAAUGAAAGAGCAAUUCUUAACAAAAACACCAAUAACUGGCUUUUCAUCAGGGUUGCCACCAAGGCUACCAACAUUAAUACCAUGACCAGGUCCACAAGUGACUUUAGUGAUGUAAAGUUGUUCUGUUUCAUCGUCAAUGGAGAUACAAUCAUCACCAGUAGCAAAGUUAGAGUAUGUAACAUUCACGGAGCUUGAUCUUGAGAUGUGGAUGCCAUCAGUGUUGGGGCUACUAGCUGGAGCACUGACGUUGAACUGGAGGAACGUUAAGUUCUUGCAUUGGUUCACGUUAACGUGGAAUGAUUUGCUGUCCAAUGUUGUUAUGUCCUUGAUUAUGGAAUUUGUGAGGGAGUUGAAGCUCAAAUUCUACACCAUAUGCAAAUAUAAGAAAGAAAAAAAGUACAUUUAUCAGAGUCAACAAAUUUUGAAAGUUUGACCAAACAGAAACGUCUUAUGACUUACAUUGGGAAGCUUGGUGCACUUUUUGGACUCUUUGCAUUCCCAUGCAGCUUUACCUUGACCAUCAAGGACUCCACCACCAGACAUUGUGAAGAAAUCAAGUUUGUUGAUUGUUAACCAUUCACCAGUCUUGAUUUGGUUUGGGUCUGAAGGAGCUUUCAAAGUGGCUUGGAUUUGAAGUUCAAUAGGUCCUUUGCAUGGGCCUUCUAGUUUCACUUGGUUCAUUUGGAAUGUUCCCUUUGGGAUCACAAUGGUGCUUGGGCUUGUUGAUUGACAUGCCUCUUUAAAAGCUUUGCCCACAGCCUAAACAAUAACAAAGUAGAAAAAGAAUUGCAAUUAGUUUUGAAGAUAUUUAUAAUGUGCUUUUUUUGGUCUUUUGGUUUUGUUUCAAUGACAAGUGGUGUACGAUCAGCUUGUACGCAUUUUGACUAUUUCACAUGCAUAUGUUACAUUUCAUCAGUAAUACAAGAGUAACUAUGUUCUUCAAGAUUUAGACAAAUAAGAAGAAAACAUCUAAUAAUUUUUUUCUUUUUGAUUUCCCAACCUAAUGCCCAAUAUGGCUCGACUUAUCCAGAUUCGCGUCAGAAAUUACAGUUCUCACUUUAAGGAUUAAAAUACUUUGUAGCCAAGGUAUAACUCCAUAUUUCUAUUGUAAUUUGAAUGUAAAUUCAGACGUGUUAUAUGUUUUUAACUCCAUUUUCCACUGAACACAACAAUGACGAAGUUAAGAAUUUCAACAAAUCUUGAACCCCUUUGCAUUUCCACUAGAAUCUUUUAUUCAACUAUUCAUGUGUAUGCAAAUGAAUUAAUUUUCAUCUCUUAUGAUUUUUGGAUGAAAGAAAUUCAAUUGAACCGCCUUAUUAU